Molecule: long non-coding RNA, 9833 nt
Filed under: Homo sapiens (human)
Lineage: Eukaryota; Metazoa; Chordata; Mammalia; Primates; Hominidae
Description: HSALNT0091276
Source: RNAcentral
CAGAUCAAGAGCAUCUCAUCCUCCGGCUGCUGAGUCAUCCUGCUCUGGCAGUUAUUUAAACAGAAGGCUCCAGGAGACAUACAAUCAACACUCCACUCAGACAAUGCCCAGACCUCCAGAAACCAUGUGUCAAGCUCGGAUUGCCUUAGACAGGUGCAAUUUAAGAACAGCUUUCAUCCUCUUUUCUCUCAUAUUGUCACACUAUGUGUUCUGACUUCUGGCUCCUUUCCUCACAAGAAGCUCACCCAGCUGGAACUCUUAUGGGACCUUGGCACCAGAGACCACAAAUUCCUCUUUGAAGUUUUCUAACAGCAACAAUGGUAUUUCUGACUUGGCUUUCUUGUAUUUCUCUCACGUUAACAAAAUUGGUUCAGCAUCUACCAUGGGCUACAUGCUGAGCUACAGAGUUUCGCUCUGUCGCCCAGGCUGGAGUGCAGUGGCGCGCGAUCUCGGUUCACUGCAAGCUCCACCUCCCGGGUUCACGCCAUUCUCCUGCCUCAGCCUCCUGAGUAGCUGGGACUACAGGCGCCCGCCACCACACCCAGGAAUCCAACUUGCUGUUUGCUAUCACAUGUGCUAUACAUGCUGUUGAUGAAACUGCUAAAGGGGCUGAAUGUGACUGACGUCUUUGGAAGGAUGAGACUUAGCGUGCCUGUACAGUUGUGUCCAAAUGCUGUCCUCAUCUCCCAAUGAAAAGCUGAACUAGGGCCAUGCCUGGGACAGACAGAGAAUGGCCUUCCAGCAGACAUGCCAAGAAGCAAGCCAGGGUCAGUGAGUGAAGAGGAGGGCAGGCCCAUUUGAAGCAACACAGUUUAUAUACAUGAAAAGAAAGAAGGAGAGAAGGAAGAAAGGAGGGCGGAAGGAAAGGAAGAAGGGAGAGAAGAAGAGAAGAAAGAAGCAGAGAAAGGAAGAGAAAAGAAAUUACGGCCAGUGCGGUGGCUCACGCCUGUAAUCCUAGCACUUUGGGAGGCCUAAGCGGGCUGAUCACCUGAGGUCAGGAGUUCGUAAGCCAGCCUGGCCAACAUGGUGAAACCCUAUCUCUACUAAAAAUACAAAAAUCAGCAGGGCAUGGUGGUGCGUGCCUGUAAUCCCAGCUACCUGGGAGGCUGAGGUAGGAGAAUCGCUGGAACCCGAGAGGCGGAGGCUGCAGUGAGUUGAGAUCAUGUCACUGCACUCCAGGCUGGGCAACAGAGUGAGACUCUGUCUCAGAAAAAAAAAAAAAGAAAGAAAGAAAGAAAGAAAGUUACCAUUAGUUUUUUGUUGUAUUUGCAAGCAAAGACAAAAGCACCAAGGUACUUGUUUCCUUCUGUAAUUAGAGUUUCAAAUAGACUAAAAGUUUCUGCUCUUAGGUGGGUCUAGAGACUCUCCAGUACCUCAGGACCUCAGGACACAUGGGGUCUCUUGGUUGUUUUCUUUUCAUUGUUGUUGUUUAUUUUAUUUUUGUUUUUAUUUUUUAACUUUAAAACAAUUUUUUGUAGAUGAAUAUGCUUACAUAUGUUUGGGGGUUUUUUUGAGACAGGGUCUUGCUCUGUUGCCCAGGCUGGAGAGCGGUGGUUUAACCACAGCUCACUGCAGCCUCGACCUCCCAAGGUAGGGACUGCAGGUGUGUACACUGGGGUGCACCACCACACCCAGCUAAUUUUUAAAUUUUUUUUUGUAGAUAUUGUCUCACUCUGUUGGCCAGACUGGUCUUGAAAUCCUGGGCUCGAGCAAUUCUCCUGCCUCGGCCUCGUAACGCGUUAGGAUUACAAGCGUGAACACCGCACCUGGCCAGCAUGUGGUCUCUUAACCAGAGGAGGCCUCUUCUGAACUAGGUAGAGGUCCUGAGAAUUGAUUCUGAGAGUAAAAGGCUCUUUGUUCUCCUCAGAGUAGAUUAGAAUCCCUAAUGAUAGAGCAUCUAUUAUUCCUCUAGUGGUCCAUGCCCAACAGAUUCAUCCAAGAAUAGAUGAAGAUCUUUGUAAUGUUGUGCAAGUAAUCUAAUCACCCCACAGAAGAGCUGUGACUUAAAUUAUCCCAGAGUCGGCCCACCUGUUUUCAUAAAGAUCAAUGUAACUUGUAAAUUUCUUCAGUUCUCCUCACCUAUCAUCAUUUGACUAACAAAACCCAGAAAACUAGGCUAGUUAUGGUGGCCUAUGCAUAUAAUCCCAACUCUUUGAGAGGCCAGGGUGGGUGGAUUGCUUGAGUCCAGGAAUUCGAGACCAGCCUGGGCAACAAAGGGAGACCCUGCCUAUAUCCCAGCUAUGCAGGAGGCGAGGCCAGAGGAUUGCCUGAGCCUCAGAGGUUGAGGCUGUAGUGAGCCAUGAUUGCCCCACUACACUCCAGCCUGGAUGACAGAGUGAGACCCUGCCUUAAAAAUAAUAAUAAUAGUAAUAAUAUUUCAUAAAGAUACAGGAAACUAGAUUAUAAUUGACAUUUUCAAAGUGAAAUACUGUCUAGAAUGGUGCUUGGCCAACAGUAAGCUUUUUGUAAGUGGAAGUCAUUACUACUACUAUUUCUUUCAUUAUUAUUACCAUUACUACUUUUUUUUACAAAAAAAAAACCCUGGACAACACACUGAAACCAUUACUACUUCUACUACUAUAACUUAGGUUGCACCUGAUAGAGCCAGCAAUUUUUCCAAGGUAUGACAAUGGCCAUAUGUUUAAUGAUAUAAUUCUAUGGCUCAGUGUAUCUCAGCCUUUUUAAACCCUGCUCUUCUUUUGACAAUUGUAAAAAUCUUAAACUGACCUCCAGUUGAAAUCCUCUGUCAAGAAGAUAUUGUCGGCCAGGGGCGGUGGCUCACACCUGUAAUCCCAGCACUUUUGGAGGCCGAGGUGGGAGGAUCACUUGAGGUUAGGAGUUCAAGACCAGCCUGGCCAACAUAGUGAAACCCCAUCUCUACUAAAAAUACAAAAAUUAGGCAGGCAUGGUGGUGUGUGCCUGUAAUCCCAGCUACUCAGGAGGCUGAGGUAGGAGAAUUGCUUGAACCUGGCAGGGCAGAGGUUGCAGCAAGCCGAGAUCACGCCACUGCUCUCCAGCCUGGGUGAGACUGUCUCAAAAAAAAAAAAAAAAAAGAAAGAAAGUAAGAAAAAGAAGAAAUCCCAAUCUCUUCUUUUAUGUGGAUUCUUCCUCACUUGAAUAAUACUUUUCUUCCCCAGUAUUCUCCAUAUUAUCCCAGAGUCAGCCCCUCUGUUUUUGUAAAGAUCUACGUAACCUCCUCUAAGUUUCCCAGUUCUCCUCACCUAUCAUAUCAUUUGGCUCAACAAAGGGCAGGAAGCUAGAUUCUAAUUGAUAUUUUGAGGCCGGGAGCAGUGGCUCAUGCCUGUAAUCACAGCACUUUGGGAGGCUGAGGCGGGCAGAUCACUGGAGGUCAGGAGUUCGAGACCAGCCUGGCCAAUAUGGUGAAACCUCGUCUCUACUAAAAAUACAAAAAAUUAGCCAGGCUUGGUGGCUUGUACCUGUAAUCCCAGCUACUCAGGAGGCUGAGGCAGGAGAAUAGCUUAAACCUGGGAGGAAGAGGUUGCAGUGAGCCGAGAUUGCUCAAUUGCACCCCAGCCUGGGUGACAGAGCAAAACUCCAUCUCAAAAACAAACAAACGAACAAACCUGAUAUUUUCAAAAUUGAGGCAAUUAUAACAGCUAUUUAGCCAAGCAUUAUGAUAGCAAUAAUAGCAAGAAAAUAAAUUAGUUAACAAAUGAGUCUCAGAAGCCCAAUGAUUUUUAUUUUAUUUUUAUUUUUUGAACUUUUAUUUUAGAAUCAGGGGAUACAUGUGCAGGUUUGUUACCCGGGUAUAUUGCAUGAUGCUGAGUUUUGGAGUAUGCAUGAAUCCAACCUGUCAUCCAGGUAGUGAGUAUAGUACCCAACAGAUAGUUUUUUUAACAUUUACUUCACUCCCUUCCCCAAUCUUGUAUUCCCCUGUGUCUACUGUUCCCAUUUUUAUGACUGUGCCAACAAUAAUUUUUUUUCUUUUUUCUUUAAAUAGAGAUGGGGGUCUCUAUUUAAAGAGCCUCCCAAAGUGCUAGGAUUACAGGUGUGAUCCAUUGCACCUGGCCCAUGCCAACAAUAUUUGAAACCCUUAUCUGCGUGUACAAGUUUGCUACUGGUUUUGUUUUGCUCAUUAAUACAUCCCAAGCAUCUAUACCUGGCUUGUAGUACCAGCAUGUAGUAGGUGCUUAAUAAAUAUUUAUUGAAUAAAUAAAUUAGUUUGACAUUAGUUUAACAUCUCAAGUAAAACAAAAUACCAUUCAAUUAAUUCUCUUCUUCUACUUUUUUCUUUUAAGAGAGACAAAUAGUCACACAUACAUCAGCAGGAGAGGAUACAAUUUCCUGUGUUUAAGUUUUUAUGAGUUACUUUAGUUCAAAUGUCACAGAAAAUUAUAUUGAACUCUUGACCAAUCUAUCUAUUUUUUCCAUUGGAGUAUUGACCCAAAUAAGAAAUAGCAUAAAGGAAAAAUUAUUUUUUGGCAGAAAAAUAUUCUCUCUAAAUUCUUGUGUGUUUUGUUUUGAUUUUUUCCUUAGUGACUGGAGGCCAGUUUCAAUCCACUGAAGCACAGAUUCCAAAUUUUCAAUCUGGUUUUCUUGAGUAGUGACUGAGUGCCAAAAAUGAAGCAAUGACACAACAUCACCAUCAAGACACUCCCCAGCACGCACACACAUGCCAGAGUCCAACACCAAGAUACUCCCCAGCACGCACACACACGCCAGAGUCCAGGCCAUAUUCGGGUGGCUUGCAAGCUUCUUCCCCCCAAGUAUUUACUCUCAAAAUAAUGGUUUUUGUUUUGUUUUGGUUUGGUUUGGUUUGUUUUUUUCCAAAUACAUUUCUUCCCUAUAUCUUUAACCAAUUCUCAUAAAAUUUUGUCUAAUACACUGGUCAGUGUAUUCCAGACCCUAAAAGAUAACAUAAUGAAACUAUCUAUGACUAAAAGGUAAUCAGGAUCUUCUACUUAUCCUUUUUUCCUCCCUCUUAAACUUUAAUUUUGAUACAUUUGGGAGUGAAAUGAUGACAAUAAAUGCAAAGUAAUUAUUGAAGAAACAGUAAUUUUGUAUUAGCUUACUGAAAAAAAAAAAAAAGAUAACCAAAUAUAUUUUGGCAGCCCCAAACGAGUCACAUGUGAAAUGCAGUGGGAGAGCAGUGUCCUGAAGGAAAAGGUGGCCUGCUGGACAGCCAAGAGAACAAACAUCCACUGCAAGUAAUAUGAGCUCUAAGUUUGGACUAGGCCUAUGUCUGCUCUGAGACUUGGGGCAAUUCACUUAAUCAGAGCCUUAAUCAGCUACGGACUAGCAAUAUCCAUACCCGCUACUUAUUUUGUAAAUCUCCUUUCUAAAGUUAACUCUAUUUAUUGUUCCAUAAUCCCAUAAAUUCUAGAAUCUUUUCCUGUUAUAGCCAAGUUGUCUAUCAUUGACAGAGAUAUUCACCUGGUUGUUUUGGCUUCUCUAAUCCUCCUGGUGAGAACACCUCCAAGGGAGCUUUCAGUGGCAUUUAAGGUCACUUGUGCUCUUGGUCCUAGAAACUGCCUUGAUAGUGGUUUUAGCUCACAUGAGGUAAGUCUUUAUUAUAUGCCCAACCUCUUUAUGCAUUACUUCAUUUAAUUGUAUACUAAUCCUUUGUCAUAGGUUAUCAGAGUGUUUGAUUAUAAGUUACAGGAAGAAAAAAAAAAACAAACUCCAAUUGACUAAAACAAUGGGGCAUUUUUUGACUCACAUAACAGAGAGUCUAGAGAGAAGGCACCUUCAGGUUUGGCUGAUGAAUCCUGUAUCUCUGCCUUGUCUCCAGGCCCCCAGGUUCUGCCUCUGUCCUGACAUCCAGUGUUGGAUUCCUCUUCACAUCAACUCCUCUCUAGCUGUGGCAAUUCCUUGAACCACACUGAUUGCUAUAAAGUGGAAGAGGAAUAGAUUGAAUUUUGGGGAGUCAACUACAAUGUGUACUACAGGUAAAUACUAUGAAUUUCCAAUUCACAGAUGAGAAAACUGAGGCAUGUGGUGGGAGGGAGGUUAUGUAAUUUGCCCAGUGUCACAGUUGAACCUAGGCAAAGGCCUAUCUCCAGGUCUAAACAAUUCAGUGGCCUCCUGUGUACAUUUCUGUCUCUCCUUUUUUAUCCACUGUGUCACCGAGGCUGGAUUGCAGUGGCUCGAUCAUGGAGAUCAUGGCUUUCUGUAGCCUUGAACUCCUGGGCUCAAGUGAUCCUCCUGCCUCAGCUUCCUGAGUGGCUGGGACUACAGGCUUGACAACACACCCGGCUAUCCCGUGUAUAUUUCUUGAGGGCUUAUGAUAUAUAAGAGAAACUCCAAAAUAAGAGGACGGUGUGCUAAGGGGAAGACCAAAGCACUAUCAAGAGGUAGAUUCAAUCGUACCCCUUCUAUUUACUAGUUGUGUGACUCUUUUGAAAAUGAGAAUAAUAGGCCAGGCUCGGUGGCUCCUGCCUGUAAUCCCAGCACUUUGGGAGGCUGAGGCAGGUAGAUCACCUGAGGUUAGAAGUUCAAGACCAGCCUAGCCAACAUGGCAAAACCCCAUCUCUAUUAAAAAUACAAAAAUUAGCCGGGAAUGGCAGCAUGUGCCUGUAGUUCCGGCUACUCAGGAGGCUGAGGCAGGAGAAUCACUUGAACCCAGGAGGCAGAGGUUGCAGUGAGCCGAGAUUGCGCUACUGCACUUCAGCCUGGGUGACAGCGAGACUCCAUCUCAAAAAAAAAAAAAAAGGAAGAAAAGAAAAGAAAAUGGGAAUAAUAAAACUUACUUACUGGAGCAGUAGCAAAGAUUAAAAUUUAGACCAUGCAGAAGAAUGUUUUUCAAAAUGACAUGACCUGGUAAUAGGAUAGAAAUGCAAAUUCCUGUUACUGCACCAGACCCACCAAAUAAGAAACUCUGGGGAUGGGACCCAGGACUAAGUACUUUAAUAAGCACUCCAGGUGAUUCUAAUGAUUGUUAAAGUUUGAGAACCACUGGUCUAACACAUUGCCUGGUACAUAAGCUCUUAUUUUGUUGUUAUUGUUCUAAGGACAAUGUGUGUAUUGACUUCUAUUUCCAGGAGUUCAUGACUUGGAGAACUAGGGAAAGGAAGACAAAAAUUCUUUAAUGCAGAACGAUACUGAUUGAUAAAUACCUGAAUAUAAUACAGGUUAAAUGUGCUUUGAAGAUUUAUAAAAGGUUGAAUUUAUUUCCAGCAAGAUGACUCUCAGAAGCCUUUAUAGAUUAGAGAAGAAAUGGAAAGGGGUAAAAAUAAUUAGGAACUAUAAAGCAGGGCAGACAAGUUUUCAAUGGUUACUGCCAAUGUGUAUACAGAAAGUUAGCUUGGCCAGGCAAAGUGGCUCAUGCUUGUAAUAUCAGCACUUUGGGAGGCCAAGGCGGGCAGGUCACCUGAGAUCAGGAGUUUGAGACCAGCCUGACCAACAUGGUGAAACUCUAUCUCUACUAAAAAUACACAAUUAGCCCAGCAUGGUAGAGCAUGCCUGUAAUCCCAGCUACUCAGGAGGCUGAGGCAGGAGAAUCGCUUGUACUUGGGAGGCAAAGGCUGCAGUGAGCUGAGAUCGUGCCAUUGCACUCCAUCCUGGGAAACAAGGGUGAAACUCCGUCUCCAGAAAAAAAAAAGUUACCUUGAAAUAUAUCAAUACAAACAAAUAAAUUAGAUAUUUCAUAUUGUACAGGAACAAAACCCAUCAGAAGAUGUCAGAAGAUAAGGAUUUUUGUCCUGAUGCUACACUUACCAGCUGUCCCUCAGUGUUCUACUUCUUAAAAAAAGAGAGAUGGAUAAACAGAGGCAACCCGAGGAUAAAGGCCUUGCUCAGUGUCACACAUUUCAGUCACUAAAUAAGACACAAUGGAUGCCAGUAUUCUCAUCCCCUCACAAAUAAAGAGCCUUCAAGCUCUUGCAGUCAACAAGAACUUUUGGAAUGAUUUCACUGCCUGAAAAGGCAGAUACAUAGGUGACACCCACAAAUAGGAAGAAAAUCAACCUGAACCUGAGUGUGUGGGCUCACUGACUCUAAGCAGUAGAGACAGAAGAAAAAGUUUUAGCAAAGAAGGGUUCUGAAAGAAAAUAAAUAUAGCUCGUUAUCAAGUGCUGUUUUUACACAGUAAAACAUGGGCAAAAUUACUCUUCUUUAAGUAGUAAUUCUUAUCUCUUGAUUAAGUCACCUACUCAUUCAUUUAAUAAAUACAUACUGAUUGUUUUCUAUGUGUUGAGCACUCAUCUCUGUAUUGGAAAUAUAAUAAUGACCAAAGUUGACAAUAGUAAUAACAAUAAUAGCUAAUAUAGCAGGCACUAAUAAUUAUUUGUUGAGUAAUAUGUCAAAAUUCAGUGUGAACAGCAUUCUAUUUGGGGCUGCAUCCACUGACUAUAACACAGCUAAUCUAUCUGAAAUGUUCCAGCUUUGGGCCUCUCUAACAGAAGAAGCUGUUGUUGGGCCUGCCUCUAGUUGGCGAUGCAUCCACCAAUGAGAAUGAAUUUAUGAUCGACCACUCUUCCUGUAAAGGCCGCUGGAACUGACAGCAUUGUGAUUUUCUUUUACUGUUAGUUUUAAAUUACUAGAACCAACUCAAUUACUAGAACGAACUUUACUUCUUUGUUUCCUACUUAUCAAAACAGUAAAAACAACAAGUAAAAGAAAUGCCAUCUUAAUAUUGUUUUGAUGACAAAACAGUAUUCCUUUUAGUUGUGCUUCAAAUGGAAUAAGAUGCAAACAGGCUUGGUAUGGUGGCUCACCCCUGUAAUCCCAGCCCUUUGGGAGGCCAAGGUGGAAGGAUUGCUUGAGGCCAUGAGUUUGAGACCAGCCUGCGCAACAUAGCAAGACCGUGUCUCUACAAAAAAUAAAAAAUUAGCUGAGUGUAGUGGUGUGUGCUUGUGGUCCCAGCUACUUUUGAGGCUGAGGAGGGAGAAUCUCUUGAGCCCAGAAGGUCGAAGUUGCAGUGAGCCGUGAUCGUGCCAUUGCUCUCCAGCUUGGACAACAAAGCAAGACCCUAUGUCAAAAAAUAAAUAAAUAAAAGACAUAAACAUAUCUGAGAUUAACUUUCAGUGGUAAAUUUGUUCCAUAUAUGAUUUUUAAGGUUAAAUGCUUUGGAAGCUUUAAAAACCAUUUCAGCCCUUUUAAAUGCCAACUUACACUGAUGAUGCUCUCAGAUGUUAGGAAAUCUUUUGAGCAGAAAAUGGAAGUGGGGGUGUUGAGGCAGGGAGGAGAGUGAUGCAAUAUUCCUUAGUGUCAUCCUGUGAUUUCACAAUUUGUUUUUCAAUCUGUUUGGACUUUCAAAAGGGAAGACUCUCAUAUGUCAACAAGCCCAUGAACUGAAGCUUAAAACACUGGAAACAACAACUGUAGAGUUUCAAGUAUAUGUACAUUUAUGUAUUCAUGUUCCUUGAUGGGAAUGCUGGCUGGUGUGAAUGUUCAAUCUCCUGAGAAAUGUAAAUUUUUCUCUGACAGAUUUAUUAGCUUGCUGUAUCUGAGCACAUGAGCAAAAACAAUGCCUAAUAAGAAAACUUUCUCUCUCCUUCAAAGUCAAACUUGGGAGAAAUGAAGGGAAAUCGAGUUUUCUUUGCUUGACAGUGUUCAACAUUCUUGUAGUCAGUGUGCUCAUGAAGAUUGCAAACUUUUUUUUUUUUUUAGAGCAGCUAGGACUACAGGCGCGCACCACCACACCCAGCUAAUUUGUGUAUUUUUAGUAGAGAUGGGGUUUUAACUAUGUUGGCCAAGCUUGUCUCAAACUCCUGACCUCAAGUGAUCCAUUCGACAGCUCUUUCUUUUUUUUUUUUUUUUUUGAGACAAAGUCUCGCUCUGUCACCCAGGCUGGAGUGCAGUGGUAUGAUCUCAGCUCACUGCAACCUCCGCCUCCUGGGUUCAAGCAAUUCUCAUGCCUUAGCCUCCCGAAU